GGAUGAAGGGAGCUUGCUCCUGGAUUCAGCGGCGGACGGGUGAGUAAUGCCUAGGAAUCUGCCUGGUAGUGGGGGAUAACGUCCGGAAACGGGCGCUAAUACCGCAUACGUCCUGAGGGAGAAAGUGGGGGAUCUUCGGACCUCACGCUAUCAGAUGAGCCUAGGUCGGAUUAGCUAGUUGGUGGGGUAAAGGCCUACCAAGGCGACGAUCCGUAACUGGUCUGAGAGGAUGAUCAGUCACACUGGAACUGAGACACGGUCCAGACUCCUACGGGAGGCAGCAGUGGGGAAUAUUGGACAAUGGGCGAAAGCCUGAUCCAGCCAUGCCGCGUGUGUGAAGAAGGUCUUCGGAUUGUAAAGCACUUUAAGUUGGGAGGAAGGGCAGUAAGUUAAUACCUUGCUGUUUUGACGUUACCAACAGAAUAAGCACCGGCUAACUUCGUGCCAGCAGCCGCGGUAAUACGAAGGGUGCAAGCGUUAAUCGGAAUUACUGGGCGUAAAGCGCGCGUAGGUGGUUCAGCAAGUUGGAUGUGAAAUCCCCGGGCUCAACCUGGGAACUGCAUCCAAAACUACUGAGCUAGAGUACGGUAGAGGGUGGUGGAAUUUCCUGUGUAGCGGUGAAAUGCGUAGAUAUAGGAAGGAACACCAGUGGCGAAGGCGACCACCUGGACUGAUACUGACACUGAGGUGCGAAAGCGUGGGGA
This 704-nucleotide ribosomal RNA is filed under the name Pseudomonas aeruginosa. Its description in RNAcentral is "bacterial SSU rRNA". It matches the Rfam family "Bacterial small subunit ribosomal RNA", at positions 68 to 767 of the family's 1533-position model. The record is from RNAcentral. Lineage: Bacteria; Pseudomonadati; Pseudomonadota; Gammaproteobacteria; Pseudomonadales; Pseudomonadaceae.